GGCAACCUGUAAACAGCCCAAGAGUUAGAUAAAAUUGCUGCCUCAUUCUACUGAGAAAAAUGACUAUCCUGCUACAGCAACCAGAGCCCAAGAAACCCACCUACGAUGGGGCGGGGGUGGAGUAACAGGAAUGAUUGACAGGAGAGACAACAAGUUCCUGGCCUGCGUUUCACCCCAGUGGCCGAUGCAUCUGAAAUGCCUGCAGUUCUCAGCUCUUGAACAGAACUGAGGAGUCUUGAAAGAGGCCAUGGCAUGCCCUGUGGGGUCUCCAGGCAGCUUUGAUAGGCCCAGUUGGCAUUUGCUAUAAAAACUUAUUAAAUCCAGGCCUUUCUUCUGCAACUGAGACUCCAGAACAGCUGCCCCUGACAAACAAUAAAGAAGGACCUACAGCGUGGCAUGGAUAUCCACUGGCUGGCACACCAGAAGCCAUGUUAGACUAAGAGGUGACUCAGGAUGGCCAUGCACUGGAGGUAGCAAAGCAGAGAGAAAGGAGUCUGCCUGAUGACAGCCUACAGCCUCCAUUACCAGGCCUGGGCCAAUCACCUCUGGACUUUUUCUACAUGAGAGAAUAAAC
RNAcentral lists this long non-coding RNA (574 nucleotides) under Homo sapiens (human). RNAcentral's name for it is "non-protein coding lnc-CALB2-1:3". The record is from RNAcentral. Lineage: Eukaryota; Metazoa; Chordata; Mammalia; Primates; Hominidae.